Molecule: long non-coding RNA, 2550 nt
Organism: Strongylocentrotus purpuratus (purple sea urchin)
Lineage: Eukaryota; Metazoa; Echinodermata; Echinoidea; Camarodonta; Strongylocentrotidae
Exons: 3
Source: RefSeq, a predicted model, not a curated record
UAGCUUUGGCUUAGUUUUAGCUUACUUUAGCUUUGUUCACUUUGCACCUGAAAUAAAAAGAACCGCAACACAACGAAUGGUGUGAUCGAGUAUUUUCUACCAGUUUCUGCGUGUGAUCGGCGUGUUACAAAUGGCGUAAUCGGCAGGAUUUCAUCACUGCAAGUGCAAGCCCUGGCUUUCUGUGGAGCUUCUAUCACGACAACGUGAUCGGACAUGGACGUCUGGAAACCUGUAAAUAUGGACGUAGAUUUAAGUUGUAGCGAUUGUGUGUAUUGUAUGAAUGUUUGUUGCUAAGCUAGUGUGAAGUUUAGUAAGGAGCUACGUUCUGUCUGUUUAGGGUAAUUUUAUUAAAAUUAUCUUGUAAUGGAAUACUUUAAUGUAUUCAGUUUAAAUUGUUUUGGGGAAAUUAAGGAGUAAUACUAUUCAUAUGUUGUUGAGACUGUCAUGAUAAUACUGUGUUUGGAACAAUCCAUACCCCCUUUCGUAUUUAAUUUCGGCUGGUUGGAUGGAGCCUCAAAUUAAGGGAUGGCAUACAAAGACACCGGUAUUUUAUAUAUUGAUAGGAGGGAUAACAGUACAUGUAGGUGUAGAGCAGGUAUGAAGCUCUAGCUUUAUCACUUAUGAAUAGUUGGAAUAUUCCUUUAUUUGAACUUGUAAAUUGUUGAGAUUUGAAGUUGGGCAUGAUAUUAAAGUUUCGGUAACUUAAGGAUAAGUUAGGUUUAGGUUGUAGUGUAUGUAUAUCACAUUUAUUGAAUUGAUAUGCAUGAUGUAUAUUUGUUAGUUUUAGAGACUGCUUUUGAAAAAGCAGGGGAGCCCAUGAACGUGAAAUGUUGUUUCAGUUUGGGUCAGCAAUUGUUCGGAGUAACUAUGUGCGUGUGUUGUGUAAUGGAUAUUGUAUUGUUUUAUACCGAGAUUUCUGGAAUGUAACUGGGAUUUGGCUGGAAUUACUGUUGGACUUAGCCUGGAUAGUGUAUUUAAUGUUUAUUCCGAAAACCUCGACAUGAGACCGGAAUCAUGCAUGGAAGAAAUACUGGGGCGACUUCUAGGAACAGUAGGGUUUAUCUCUCUAUCUUUGUUUUUCUGUUAACCUCAUAGAGAGGCCGGAAAGGGCACAUUGGUAGCGGAGAGGAUUAGCCAAAAGUUAUAAGAUUUCUUUGUAUAUUGCAUUGUCGAAUUUUUGUAUCUUAGGAGUUUAUUAAGAUAUGCGAAAGGAAUAUCUGUAGGGCAAGGUCGUUACGAAAUAUAGUUGACAGUUUUACUGCUGUAUUUGCUAGAGUGUGUACAUGUACUAUAAGGACGAUUAUUGUUUUUGUGUGUUUAAAAUGAUACUGAGUAGAUUAAUUGGGUAUACCGUGAAAAUCAUCUGGCUUGUUGGAGAUGCCUGUAAUAUUAAGAUUUGUGUUGAUAACUAAGGUUUGGCAGUAGAGACUCUGGAACUGUUAGGAUCGGUUGGGUAGCACUAAUGUUAAUGCUAGGAGCCUCGACAUGAGACCAGCAUUACAUAAUAAGGAGUGCUAGAAUGACUGAAACAGUUGAGUUUUUGCACUAGAUAUGUUUUCUGUGAUUCUCAUCAUGAGACCAGAAAGUUUGUAUAAGUGGUGCGGGUUGGCCAAUAAUGUGUUAUGAUUUCAAUUUUUAUAUUCUGUAUUAUGCAAAAAUAUUUUUAAUCACAUGGUUAAUUUUGAUUUGCAUAUUGGUAGGCAUCGGUAUUAGGAUCAGGAAACAGCCAUGAUGGGCAGAAGGUAUAGAGGGAAUUAAAUAUAAUUUUUGUUGUAGUCUGAGUGUCGGGACGACACUCAAUUAAGCAGGGGAGUGUGUAACAGGUCAGAAUUGAACUGUUUUAUAGUGAAACAUAUAUAUUUAUUUCUAAUCAAUAUCUCCUCAGGAGGAAAGUAAGAAGUUUAUAUGUUAACAAACUUUGUACUUCAAAGAAGUAUGACUCACACAUAUUCUGAGUAGAAGCUAUCAAUUUGGCCAAAACAUGACAUUCCACAGCUAUGAGAGAGUUAAUGAUGUAUGGUCACUUGGUCAAAGGUUGGUAACUCGACCCCCCCCCCCCCCCCUCCCUUCCAGAACACUUGUAAUAACUUAGCCGAAUGUAAACAUUAGAUAAGAACCACCAAACUUCCAAAACAAAAGACUUCCUGUCUCCCUCCCAAUAACAAGACCCUUUACCAGAACAGGUUAUGUGUGGUAGCUAUACCACCGUGAGAGUAUAGCUGUUAUAAAAGAAGGCAGAGGUAUUUGUGAGAUUCACUCCUGUACUGCACCCCAUCCAUGGGGCAGGCAGGGAGGUCGACUCUGCAAGCUUUUGGUGUUACAUGUCAUUAGGUGUUGACAAAUUACAAUCAACAUGUAAGAAGUGGGAACGAGAAGAAACGGUCCUCUAGGCCAGAUUGCCAGGGUGAGUGGGUUAUCAUAUUCAAUGUAUAAACCACUAAUUCAAUGUAGUUUUAAUUGGGAGUUAUGUAUGAUUGUUUGACAAAGUUCACUUGAUGGUUGUAUUCAUUUAUUUGUUGGGAAAGUUAUCCAUAAAGAUGGAAGAACUUU